GAUGAACGCUGGCGGCGUGCCUAAUACAUGCAAGUCGAGCGAACGGACGAGAAGCUUGCUUCUCUGAUGUUAGCGGCGGACGGGUGAGUAACACGUGGAUAACCUACCUAUCAGACUGGGAUCACUUCGGGAAACCGGAGCUAAUACCGGAUAAUAUAUUGAACCGCAUGGUUCAAUAGUGAAAGACGGUUUUGCUGUCACUUAUAGAUGGAUCCGCGCCGCAUUAGCUAGUUGGUAAGGUAACGGCUUACCAAGGCAACGAUGCGUAACCGACCUGAGGGGGGGAUCGGCCACACGGGAGCUGAGACACGGUCCUGACUCCUACGGGAGGCAGCAGUAGGGAAUCUUCCGCAAUGGGCGAAAGCCUGACGGAGCAACGCCGCGUGAGUGAUGAAGGUCUUCGGAUCGUAAAACUCUGUUAUUAGGGAAGAACAAAUGUGUAAGUAACUAUGCACGUCUUGACGGUACUUAAUCAGAAAGCCACGGCUAACUACGUG
RNAcentral lists this ribosomal RNA (497 nucleotides) under uncultured bacterium. RNAcentral's name for it is "partial 16S ribosomal RNA". It matches the Rfam family "Bacterial small subunit ribosomal RNA", at positions 28 to 507 of the family's 1533-position model. The record is from RNAcentral.